AAUGUUUUAUGAUUUCAUUGAUUGUAUGAUUUUGAUUUUCAAAUAUGAUUUGGGGGUUUUGAUAUUAAAUGGUUUGUUAUAGUUUCCCAUAGUUUAAAUUAUCCUUUUUUAUGAAUUAAUGGUGGUUUUUGAUAAUUGGAUUAUAUAUGAAUGGUUUAAUGACAAUUGAAAUUGGUUUUGAUCAUAUUAUGCCCCUAAUCUGUUUAGCAAAGUGCUUAUAAA
RNAcentral lists this long non-coding RNA (222 nucleotides) under Capsicum annuum. Its description in RNAcentral is "long non-coding RNA (CANN_LNC000286)". The record is from RNAcentral. Lineage: Eukaryota; Viridiplantae; Streptophyta; Magnoliopsida; Solanales; Solanaceae.